UGGGGAAUAUUGGACAAUGGGGGGCAACCCUGAUCCAGCAAUGCCGCGUGUGUGAAGAAGGUCUUCGGAUUGUAAAGCACUUUCGACGGGGACGAUGAUGACGGUACCCGUAGAAGAAGCCCCGGCUAACUUCGUGCCAGCAGCCGCGGUAAUACGAAGGGGGCUAGCGUUGCUCGGAAUGACUGGGCGUAAAGGGCGUGUAGGCGGUUUACACAGUCAGAUGUGAAAUCCCCGGGCUUAACCUGGGAGCUGCAUUUGAUACGUGUAGACUAGAGUGUGAGAGAGGGUUGUGGAAUUCCCAGUGUAGAGGUGAA
RNAcentral lists this ribosomal RNA (314 nucleotides) under uncultured bacterium. RNAcentral's name for it is "partial 16S ribosomal RNA". It matches the Rfam family "Bacterial small subunit ribosomal RNA", at positions 355 to 685 of the family's 1533-position model. The record is from RNAcentral.